RNAcentral lists this long non-coding RNA (371 nucleotides) under Struthio camelus australis. RNAcentral describes it as "lncRNA (ENSSCUG00000000732.1)". The record is from RNAcentral. Lineage: Eukaryota; Metazoa; Chordata; Aves; Struthioniformes; Struthionidae.
GUCACAAACUGCCGUGGCAGCGGAGCGGUGGCCGUCGCCCCCUGCCGCCCGGGGCCCUCGCGCCUUGACCUCACUGGACACCUGUUGUUUGAGACCUUCCUGUGGCGGCACAGAAGUUUUAAGCUUGCCGCGACGGUUUCUGGGGCUAGGAUUUCAGUGCGCUGUACCUGCUAAGAGGGCUGAAAAGGCUUCGGUGCUUCUAGUCGGAUCACUGGGAAAGAGCUUUGGCCUGACAAGGAGGAACCUGCUGCUUCUGAUUGUGUAUGUAUUAACUUUGUGUUUGCUUGUGCUGAGUCAUGGGAACUUCCUGUCCUUAUAUUCACCUCUUGCCAUCACUGUCAUAUUCAGUCUCAUCUUUUUGAAAAGUAUUC